Molecule: ribosomal RNA, 498 nt
Filed under: uncultured bacterium
Lineage: Bacteria
Description: partial 16S ribosomal RNA
Rfam family: Bacterial small subunit ribosomal RNA
Source: RNAcentral
AUUGAACGCUGGCGGAAUGCUUUACACAUGCAAGUCGAACGGCAGCACGGGGCAACCUGGUGGCGAGUGGCGAACGGGUGAGUAAUACAUCGGAACGUGCCCAGUCGUGGGGGAUAACGUAGCGAAAGUUACGCUAAUACCGCAUACGAUCUAAGGAUGAAAGCGGGGGAUCGCAAGACCUCGCGCGAUUGGAGCGGCCGAUGUCAGAUUAGGUAGUUGGUGGGGUAAAGGCCCACCAAGCCGACGAUCUGUAGCUGGUCUGAGAGGACGACCAGCCACACUGGGACUGAGACACGGCCCAGACUCCUACGGGAGGCAGCAGUGGGGAAUUUUGGACAAUGGGCGCAAGCCUGAUCCAGCCAUUCCGCGUGCAGGAUGAAGGCCUUCGGGUUGUAAACUGCUUUUGUACGGAGCGAAAAGGCUCUCUCUAAUACAGGGGGCUCAUGACGGUACCGUAAGAAUAAGCACCGGCUAACUACGUGCCAGCCGCCGCCGUAA